GAUGAACGCUGGCGGCGUGCCUAAUACAUGCAAGUCGAGCGAACAGAUGAGGAGCUUGCUCCUCUGACGUUAGCGGCGGACGGGUGAGUAACACGUGGAUAACCUACCUAUAAGACUGGGAUAACUUCGGGAAACCGGAGCUAAUACCGGAUAAUAUAUUGAACCGCAUGGUUCAAUAGUGAAAGACGGUUUUGCUGUCACUUAUAGAUGGAUCCGCGCCGCAUUAGCUAGUUGGUAAGGUAACGGCUUACCAAGGCAACGAUGCGUAGCCGACCUGAGAGGGUGAUCGGCCACACUGGAACUGAGACACGGUCCAGACUCCUACGGGAGGCAGCAGUAGGGAAUCUUCCGCAAUGGGCGAAAGCUUGACGGAGCAACGCCGCGUAAGUGAUGAAGGUCUUCGGAUCGUAAAACGCUGUUAUUAGGGAAGAACAAAUGUGUAAGUAACUAUGCACGUCUUGACGGUACCUAAUCAGAAAGCCACGGCUAACUACGU
Molecule: ribosomal RNA, 496 nt
Filed under: uncultured bacterium
Lineage: Bacteria
Description: partial 16S ribosomal RNA
Rfam family: Bacterial small subunit ribosomal RNA
Source: RNAcentral